Molecule: ribosomal RNA, 460 nt
Filed under: uncultured bacterium
Lineage: Bacteria
Description: partial 16S ribosomal RNA
Rfam family: Bacterial small subunit ribosomal RNA
Source: RNAcentral
CCUACGGGAGGCAGCAGUGAGGAAUAUUGGUCAAUGGACGCAAGUCUGAACCAGCCAUGCCGCGUGCAGGAAGACGGCUCUAUGAGUUGUAAACUGCUUUUGUACGAGGGUAAACGCAGAUACGCGUAUCUGUCUGAAAGUAUCGUACGAAUAAGGAUCGGCUAACUCCGUUCCAGCAGCCGCGGUAAUACGGAGGAUUCAAGCGUUAUCCGGAUUUAUUGGGUUUAAAGGGUGCGUAGGCGGUCGGAUAAGUUAGAGGUGAAAUCCCGGGGCUCAACUUCGGAAUUGCCUAUGAUACUGUUCGGCUAGAGAGUAGUUGCGGUAGGCGGAAUGUAUGGUGUAGCAGUGAAAUGCUUAGAGAUCAUACAGAACACCGAUUGCGAAGGCAGCUUACCAAGCUACUUCUGACGUUGAGGCACGAAAGCGUGGGGAGCAAACAGGAUUAGAUACCCGAGUAGUC